Quercus robur (English oak) is the source of this 2312-nucleotide long non-coding RNA. RefSeq lists it as uncharacterized. Lineage: Eukaryota; Viridiplantae; Streptophyta; Magnoliopsida; Fagales; Fagaceae. The transcript has 8 exons. The record is from RefSeq and is a predicted model, not a curated record.
UUGAAAAGGGUGAGGCAUGCACUCUAUGUAUGUGCUGUGUGUUUUUCCAUUGAGCCGUUGGGUUCAAGGGGGUUAAAAUACAGAUCAAACGGCUAGCAAUUGUGCCAUAAGCAGCUGGGUUCACAAAAGCUAACGGCUAGCAAUUUUGAGAGAGUCUCAGGAGCUCUUUGUUGUUCAUUGAAAAUCCAAAGGGAGAUUCUUGAGAGAAGUAGAAACAGAGAGAGAGAGAGAGAGAGAGAAAAAAAUACACACACACAACCCACAAUCUAUAACAGUUCCAUCCAAAACCCCAAAUCUCCAAAACCCACACACAGAACUGAGACACCAAACCUCAACCACCGAAAGCCCCAAAAUCAGAGCCCAAAACACAAAGCCAAACAUCAAACAUCGUACCUACACAAACCCACAAAGAAAAACCCAUAUCUCACCCAGAUGAAGCUCCGCUGCUUCACUCCAAAGCCAGCACAAACACCAAGGAGGACCACUACCACCACCACUAGGUUCUCCAUCUCAAGCUCGGCUCUUCCAACUUGGGAAAGGAUGAUGUCAUGGUUAUUUUCUAUACUUUAUAUCUACGCUUGUUGCUACCUGUGAAGGGUGGCUUUGCUGGACUAAUGUGUGUGGGUUUUCACUCUUGGACUUUACCAACAAUUGAAUGAGGGAGGCACAUCUGGCUUAUAUUAGAUGUUGGUUGUGGUGUUGCUAGCUUUGGUGUCUAUUUACUGGACAAAAAUGUUCUUACCAUGUCAUUUGCUCCAAGGAUGAGCAUGAAGCCGAGAUACAGUUUGAUCUUGAAGGGGGGAGUGCUUGCUACUCUGUCUGUCAUUGGAGCACGAAGGCUGACCUUUCUGGACAAAGCAUAUGAUUUGAUUUGUUGUGCACGUUGCGAGGUUCACUGGGAUGCAAAUGGGGAAGAAUCAGUGCCAAAGAGGGGCAGAGAGGUGCCUCUGAAGAGAUCUAAGAUGCAAAGCUCAAAGUCACAAAGAAGUCUAGAGCCGAGUCAAUGAUGCACGUGCCUCGCAAGAAGACAAGUCCAAGCGCCGCGACCAUUACAAUAAUGUUCCAUAGAAAGAGAGAUGAAGGAGGGGACUAAUGGUUAGAGUGAAUUAAUAUUUCAGGACCCACUGGUAACUAACGGACGAAAUUCAGUUCUGUUGCUCAGUAUAGAUGUUUGGGAGCAUGCUUACUACUUGCAGGAAUAAAUGGCAUACUACAGGAUCACCCUUUAUCUAUGCUUCUUUCAGAAUUGCUGCAGCACUUAUUGAACUACUUGUUUGGGUAAUGAAUGUCAUCUGGGAAAUGAAUGUCAUCCCCAUUGAAGUGCCAAAACUCUGUCUGUUAUAUUUGACAGAGGGUUGAUUGGAAUCUAUCUUGACUGGUGCAAGUCUUUUAAGUUCUAUCCUCGAACUUAUAAUCUACAGUGUUUUUACUUUAGAAAUCUUCCACAAAGUGCUUGUAGAGGAAGAAUUUGUCUCCCACAAGAUGAACUUGCACAAGCUGGCUUGUCAGAUGAUGACACAGUUCAUGGAAAAGUGACUGGAUAAAUGGCUUAGUUUCAUGAAGGGCCACAUAAAAGUGAGCUAGGAUGUUCUAUGAUGAAGCAGAGAAUGGGGUUCCUGAGCUCAAAUUAGCAGAGUAGAUUGGCAGUAUGGGCAUGGUUGUUGCCGACAGAUUUUGGAUGCCAUUGGAGCUAAUGAUUACAACUACUUCACAAAACAGGCUUAGGUAGGAAAAGCACUAAUAUCAGUUCCAUUAGCCUACUUUGGAUUCCUGGGGAUACUAUAGUGCAGCAGCAUGAAGAGUUGCCCAGCAAGAAAGCAUGCUGAGAGAUACUAGGAAGAUCCUUUAAUGCUUAUUGUCACUUAUGAGGGUGAUCAUAACCAUUCAAGGUUACUAUCAUCACAAUCUGCCCAUCAUGAGAACUUCAUGGAUAUUCUUCAAAGGAGAGGGGGAAAAAAAUAACUCCAAAAAUCAUGGAUAUCCUUCAAAGGAGAGGGGGAAAAAAAGACUCCAAAAAUUCUACUGCCAACUUUUCACGUACAACUUCAUGUUUUCUUAUGAAUUGCUCCUGUAUAUAUAUCACUGAUAGUGGGAACUGGGAAGGAUCUGUUGUAAGAUAAAUGGGAUUUCUAAGUCUUAUUCAGCUUUCUGGAUAAGUCUGGUUUUAGACACAACCAGAAUUUUUAAGGCCUUUUUAUAUAGAAUUUGGCAUAAAUUUCUAGAGUUCCUUUAUAAAGGACCAAAGGAAUUUUUAAACCCCUUUUGUAAAACAUAUUAUUCUUAAUUACUGCAUUCUUAAUUCUUAAAUGAUC